GCUCUAUAACCCUUUGUGAACAUACCUAUAACUGUUGCUUCGGCGGGUAGGGUCUCCGUGACCCUCCCGGCCUCCCGCCCCCGGGCGGGUCGGCGCCCGCCGGAGGAUAACCAAACUCUGAUUUAACGACGUUUCUUCUGAGUGGUACAAGCAAAUAAUCAAAACUUUUAACAACGGAUCUCUUGGUUCUGGCAUCGAUGAAGAACGCAGCGAAAUGCGAUAAGUAAUGUGAAUUGCAGAAUUCAGUGAAUCAUCGAAUCUUUGAACGCACAUUGCGCCCGCCAGCAUUCUGGCGGGCAUGCCUGUUCGAGCGUCAUUUCAACCCUCAAGCUCUGCUUGGUGUUGGGGCCCUACAGCUGAUGUAGGCCCUCAAAGGUAGUGGCGGACCCUCCCGGAGCCUCCUUUGCGUAGUAACUUUACGUCUCGCACUGGGAUCCGGAGGGACUCUUGCCGUAAAACCCCCAAUUUUCCAAAGGUUGACCUCGGAUCAGGUAGGAAUACCCGCUGAACUUAAGCAUAUCAAUAAGCGGAGGAAAAGAAACCAACAGGGAUUGCCUCAGUAACGGCGAGUGAAGCGGCAACAGCUCAAAUUUGAAAUCUGGCCCUAGGCCCGAGUUGUAAUUUGCAGAGGAUGCUUUUGGUGCGGUGCCUUCCAAGUUCCCUAGAACGGGACGCCAGAGAGGGUGAGAGCCCCGUACAGUUGGACACCAAGCCUUUGUAAAGCUCCUUCGACGAGUCGAGUAGUUUGGGAAUGCUGCUCAAAAUGGGAGGUAUAUUUCUUCUAAAGCUAAAUACCGGCCAGAGACCGAUAGCGCACAAGUAGAGUGAUCGAAAGAUGAAAAGCACUUUGAAAAGAGGGUUAAACAGCACGUGAAAUUGUUAAAAGGGAAGCGCUUGUGACCAGACUUGCGUCCGGUGAAUCACCCAGCUCUCGCGGCUGGGGCACUUCGCCGGCUCAGGCCAGCAUCAGCUCGCUGUCGGGGACAAAAGCUUCAGGAACGUAGCUCUCUUCGGGGAGUGUUAUAGCCUGUUGCAUAAUACCCUUCGGCGGGCUGA
This 1056-nucleotide ribosomal RNA is filed under the name fungal endophyte. RNAcentral's name for it is "eukaryotic LSU rRNA". The stretch from base 478 to 1056 matches the Rfam family "Eukaryotic large subunit ribosomal RNA", at positions 1 to 591 of the family's 3401-position model. The record is from RNAcentral. Lineage: Eukaryota; Fungi.